GUGCCGGGUCGUGACUGGCGCUUGGGUGGAGUACCACCGGGGAGCGGCCCGGCGGACCGACGCCACUGCCGCGCGCCUGGGCGAUCCAC
This 89-nucleotide non-coding RNA is filed under the name Streptomyces sp. Its description in RNAcentral is "ZTP sequence". It matches the Rfam family "ZMP/ZTP riboswitch aptamer (pfl RNA motif)". Rfam says of the family: Previously known as pfl RNA. ZMP is also known as AICAR. The record is from RNAcentral. Lineage: Bacteria; Bacillati; Actinomycetota; Actinomycetes; Kitasatosporales; Streptomycetaceae. RNAcentral also lists the same sequence under 1 other name.